RNAcentral lists this long non-coding RNA (1044 nucleotides) under Homo sapiens (human). Its description in RNAcentral is "HSALNT0017572". Lineage: Eukaryota; Metazoa; Chordata; Mammalia; Primates; Hominidae. The record is from RNAcentral.
UUUUUUGAGAUAGAGUCUCGCUCUGUUGCCCAGGCUGGAAUGCAGUGGCGCGAUAUUGGCUGACUGCAAGCUCCGCCUCCCGGGUUCACGCCAUUCUCCUGAGUAGAGUAGCUGGGACUACAGGCGACCGCCACCACACCCAGCUAAUUUUUUUGUAUUUUUUUUAGUAGAGACGGGGUUUCACCGUGUUGGCCUGGAUGGUCUCGAGCUCCUGACCUAGCUACCUGCCUGCCUCAGCCUCCCAAAGUGCUGGGAUUACAGGGGUGAGCCACCACGCCCGGCCCAAGUCUGCUAUCUCUAUUCCAACAAGGCUGGUGAUGAAUACCAACAGUAACCCUGAGAAGUUCACCUUUGUCCCUUCCACUCAGCCCACUGUGUGCCAUACUGGGAACUGAAGAACUAGCCUCAGGAAAUUGCCACAGCUGCUCUGACCUCCAGCGACCACCACCCUGAUCAAUCAGCAGCCUUUAGCACUGAGGCCACACUAUCCACCAGCAAAGAUAUUAGAUUAAGACUCACUGAGGCUCAGAUGAUCAGUAGCAUUUUUCAUCUGCAUCUUGUUAUUGUGCCGCGAGAAAUAGCAGCCUGACCCUCAGUUUGAUCCGGGAUAAAAAUUUGGCACACAAGCCAGGAAUUAAGGACAGUGCUGCAUUCAGCGGCUGGCAACUUGCUAUGAGACAGUCUUCAGGAGGAUCCCAGAAGCUGCUGGGUGAGGUUUCCCCCGGGACCCUCCAGAGGGCUGUUGUGCGCAAAUCUGCAUGUCCUUUUCACUACUGAGGAGAAACAGAGAUCAGGAGCAGAUGCGCUCAAAGGAGUCAAGGAAGCUUUUCUUUUGUGCUAUUAACAGAUUUUAACAAUUAAGUAAAGUAUACUCCUAUGAACAAAAUUUGGAGCAUAUUUGUUUCUCUCUGCCUUGUCCCUCUAGAAUUUGGAAACUAUCUGUGAGUAUUCUUAAUUUAUGGCAAUAUAGUUAUUUGCAUAAGUGCAAUAAAAAUCUGUUUUCUUUUGUAACAUGUCACAAUUGGAACACCUGGUUAUUUUAAC